This 232-nucleotide ribosomal RNA is filed under the name Bacillus sp. SD-39. RNAcentral's name for it is "partial 16S ribosomal RNA". It matches the Rfam family "Bacterial small subunit ribosomal RNA", at positions 59 to 275 of the family's 1533-position model. The record is from RNAcentral. Lineage: Bacteria; Bacillati; Bacillota; Bacilli; Caryophanales; Bacillaceae.
GCAAAGUCGANGCGGGAUCUUUUGGGAGCUUGCUCCCAAAGAUUAGCGGCGGACGGGUGAGUAACACGUGGGCAACCUGCCUAUGAGACUGGGAUAACUCCGGGAAACCGGGGCUAAUACCGGAUAAUUCUUUUCUACUCAUGUAGAAAAGUUGAAAGAUGNUUUCCGCUAUCNCUCAUAGAUGGNCCCCCGNCNCAGUAGGUNUUUGGUGAGNUAACUGGUCACCCNGGUA